RNAcentral lists this ribosomal RNA (517 nucleotides) under Yarrowia lipolytica. Its description in RNAcentral is "eukaryotic LSU rRNA". It matches the Rfam family "Eukaryotic large subunit ribosomal RNA", at positions 68 to 664 of the family's 3401-position model. The record is from RNAcentral. Lineage: Eukaryota; Fungi; Ascomycota; Dipodascomycetes; Dipodascales.
UCGGGCAUUGCCUCAGUACGGCGAGUGAGCGGCAAAAGCUCAAAUUUGAAACCCUCGGGAUUGUAAUUUGAAGAUUUGGCAUUGGAGAAAGCUAACCCAAGUUGCUUGGAAUAGUACGUCAUAGAGGGUGACAACCCCGUCUGGCUAACCGUUCUCCAUGUAUUGCCUUAUCAAAGAGUCGAGUUGUUUGGGAAUGCAGCUCAAAGUGGGUGGUAAACUCCAUCUAAAGCUAAAUACUGGUGAGAGACCGAUAGCGAACAAGUACUGUGAAGGAAAGGUGAAAAGAACUUUGAAAAGAGAGUGAAAUAGUAUGUGAAAUUGUUGAUAGGGAAGGAAAUGAGUGGAGAGUGGCCGAGGUUUCAGCCGCCCCUCGUGGGCGGUGUACUGCCGACGCCGAGUCAUCGAUAGCGAGACGAGGGUUACAAAUGGGAGCGCCUUCGGGCGUUCUCCCCUAACCCUCCACACUGCCACCGACGACAUAAUCCACCCAUUUCACCCGUCUUGAACACAGGGACAA